Long non-coding RNA from Grus americana (Whooping crane), 1203 nucleotides. RefSeq lists it as uncharacterized. The record is from RefSeq and is a predicted model, not a curated record. Lineage: Eukaryota; Metazoa; Chordata; Aves; Gruiformes; Gruidae. The transcript is spliced from 4 exons.
AGGACGCUUGUCUCUCAGAGGACUAUUCCCUAGCUGGGGGCUGAUUUCCUCUUCCAUUCCAGAACCUAACGGCCGCUUUUUUCAAAGUGAUUAACGUGAGUCGUUUGUUCGACGUGCCUCAUGUUCGUUACUGGGGGCGGGGAACGGAACACAACAAGAAAAAAGCCUGCCCUCCAAAAUUGUCCUCAUUCUUGGUGUCUACCAGGAUCAAGCUGAGAUACUGGAAACUUCCUGGCCCCACUCCCAGAAGAAAGGUUCCAACCCCAAAAUGUACGUACUCAUCUGAAACCUGUGUCAUUGCCGCCUUCACUGCCCUACUAUCACUGGCACAGCAGAGUGGCCGAGGUCCUGAAAAACUCCGAGGAGCAACUCAGCAUAUCUCUGGUCGUUGACAGGCUUCAAGCUUCAAAACUGAAAACAUCUCAGCCCUGCUCACAGAAGACUUUUGCCAGCCCUGAAAGAAAACUUUCACUACGAUGGACUUGGAGAGCAUAAUCGCUAAGAUAACGUGUUGGUACUGGCAAGUCUACUGGAGCGGUUUCUCUAGGAAGAUGCCACAACAUUCUGUCAUGUGCGAUAAAGCAAGUUACUAUCAGCGCCAAGAUGGACAUGGCGCUGGCCAAGGCAAAGCCUAUCAGUGAUGGUUGUACUGCGUCUAUGAGAACACAGUUAAGAACGGACAAAAGCUGCUAAAGAGCAGCAGCCAGGAGAGUAGAGAGAGUCUGUGCAAGAAACAAGUCUGCAGACACCAAGGUCAGUGAAGAAUGAGGGGGAGGAUGUGCUCCAGGCACAGAAGCAGAAAGUCUCCUGCAGCUUAUUGUGAAAAGUGUAGUGACACAUCUUGUCCCCCACAAUACAUGGAGGUUAAUGUUGCCGCAGAUGUCCACCUGCACCCUGUGGAAGGCUGCACACAUAAGCCGGUGCAUGCCAAAAGGAGAGUGUGACCCUGUUGGAAUCCGAUGUUGGAGCAGGCUUCUGGCAAGACCUGUGGACUUGAGAGAGGAGUGCACGCUACUGCAGGUUUGGUGGCAGCACUUGUGACCUUGUGGAGGACCACCUCAUUCCUGAAGGACUUUUUCCCAUGAGUGGCAUCCCAUGCUGGAACAGUGGAAGUCUGUGUGCAGCGAGGAGCAGCAGAGACAAUCUCUACUCAACUGACUGCUACUGAUGGCAAUGCCCCAUCCCCUGCACCACUGAGGGGGC